Molecule: ribosomal RNA, 253 nt
Filed under: uncultured bacterium
Lineage: Bacteria
Description: partial 16S ribosomal RNA
Rfam family: Bacterial small subunit ribosomal RNA
Source: RNAcentral
UACGGGGGGGGUAAGCGUUGUUCGGAAUUACUGGGCGUAAAGGGCUCGUAGGCGGCCAACUAAGUCAGACGUGAAAUCCCUCAGCUUAACUGGGGAACUGCGUCUGAUACUGGAUGGCUUGGAUUCGGGAGAGGAAUGCGGAAUUCCAGGUGUAGCGGUGAAAUGCGUAGAUAUGCGGAGGAACACCGAUGGCGAAGGCAAUCCCCUGGACCUGUACUGACGCUCAUGCACGAAAGCGUGGGGAGCAAACAGG